CGGACGGGUGAGUAAUGUCUGGGAAACUGCCUGAUGGAGGGGGAUAACUACUGGAAACGGUAGCUAAUACCGCAUAACGUCGCAAGACCAAAGAGGGGACCUUAGGGCCUCUUGCCAUCGGAUGUGCCCAGAUGGGAUUAGCUAGUAGGUGGGGUAACGGCUUACCUAGGCGACGAUCCCUAGCUGGUCUGAGAGGAUGAUCAGCCACACUGGGACUGAGACACGGCCCAG
This 231-nucleotide ribosomal RNA is filed under the name uncultured bacterium. RNAcentral describes it as "partial 16S ribosomal RNA". It matches the Rfam family "Bacterial small subunit ribosomal RNA", at positions 99 to 334 of the family's 1533-position model. The record is from RNAcentral.